CCACUGGUAGGAUAUGUCCUCUGUCCAGAGAUGUUUAAAACUAUGGCAGAUGCUGUCAAAUUGGUUUAUUUCUGUACCAGGCACAUCUAACUCAAAAGUCAGGUCAUGCCUUUCUAAAACUGGGAAAAUAGUGGAACACAUUUGGACUGAUGUGAAGAGAUGCUGUUUUCCUGAUAGUUCCCCUGGCCAAAGCCCACUAUUACAGUAGAUGAAUCUCGGCCAACCAUGCUCGCCUCACGA
Labeo rohita (rohu) is the source of this 240-nucleotide long non-coding RNA. RefSeq lists it as uncharacterized. The transcript is spliced from 3 exons. The record is from RefSeq and is a predicted model, not a curated record. Lineage: Eukaryota; Metazoa; Chordata; Actinopteri; Cypriniformes; Cyprinidae.